Molecule: long non-coding RNA, 486 nt
Filed under: Oryza sativa Indica Group (long-grained rice)
Lineage: Eukaryota; Viridiplantae; Streptophyta; Magnoliopsida; Poales; Poaceae
Description: lncRNA OsMH63_10G007710
Source: RNAcentral
GCCAUCGCGCCCUGCCACCGCAACCGCCCUGCCCCGCCUGCAGCGGAAUCCAUUCCUCCUCCGUCCGUCGCCCCACACCCCCCAACCCACGGCUCCACUUUCCUCAACGCCACCGCCUCCGUCCAACACUCCAACCGCCACGCGACGCCUCUGCCUUCUCCCUCUCCUUCGUGGUCCUUCCCAUCCCCGCCGAUUCCCCGCCUCCUCACCGCCGUCGCCGCUCCCACUCCCCAUACCCCCACCCCAGUUUCCUCGACGCCACCGCAGCGCAUAGCCGACGGGGCCGUUCUGUCCCUGCUCCCCAGGGACGACUGUGGCGCCGCCGCCGACCGCAAGGCGCCGGAUGUCGAGGACGCAGCCUCAAGAGCAACCGAUGUUGUUGAUAAUUCAGAAGCAACAUUCAAGCAACUGAAGCAGCAGGUCUGGCAACGUGGUGAGGGUCAAGUGGAGGUGAUGGCGUGGCUGCACAAAUCCGGCAUGUCAUAA